CAGUCGCCGCGGGAACACGUAGGUGGCAAGCGUUGUCCGGAAUUAUUGGGCGUAAGGGGCUCGCAGGCGGUUUCUUAAGUCUGAUGUGAAAGCCCCCGGCUCAACCGGGGAGGGUCAUUGGAAACUGGGAAACUUGAGUGCAGAAGAGGAGAGUGGAAUUCCACGUGUAGCGGUGAAAUGCGUAGAGAUGUGGAGGAACACCAGUGGCGAAGGCGACUCUCUGGUCUGUAACUGACGCUGAGGAGCGAAAGCGUGGGGAGCGAACAGGAUUAGAUACCCGUGUAGUCCCUGUCUCUUAUAC
RNAcentral lists this ribosomal RNA (301 nucleotides) under uncultured bacterium. RNAcentral describes it as "partial 16S ribosomal RNA". It matches the Rfam family "Bacterial small subunit ribosomal RNA", at positions 509 to 807 of the family's 1533-position model. The record is from RNAcentral.